RNAcentral lists this ribosomal RNA (422 nucleotides) under uncultured bacterium. Its description in RNAcentral is "partial 16S ribosomal RNA". It matches the Rfam family "Bacterial small subunit ribosomal RNA", at positions 360 to 774 of the family's 1533-position model. The record is from RNAcentral.
AAUAUUGGACCAUUGGGGCAACCCUGAUCUAGCCAUGCCGCGUGUGUGAAGAAGGUCUUCGGAUUGUAAAGCACUGUAAGUUGGGAGGAAGGGCUUUAGGUUAUUACCCUGAAGCUUUGACGUUACCAACAGAAUAAGCACCGGCUAACUCUGUGCCAGUAGCCGCGGUAAUACAGAGGGUGCAAGCGUUGUCCGGAAUUAUUGGGCGUAAAGCGCGCGUAGGUGGUUCAGUAAGAUGGGUGUGAAAUCCCCGGGCUUAACCUGGGAACUGCUUUCAUAACUGCUGAGCUAGAGUACGGUAGAGGGUAGUGGAAUUUCCUGUGUAGCGGUGAAAUGAGUAGAUAUAGGAAGGAACACCAGUGGCGAAGGCGACUACCUGGACUGAUACUGACACUGAGGUGCGAAAGCGUGGGGAGCAAACA